RNAcentral lists this long non-coding RNA (795 nucleotides) under Homo sapiens (human). RNAcentral's name for it is "HSALNT0325231". Lineage: Eukaryota; Metazoa; Chordata; Mammalia; Primates; Hominidae. The record is from RNAcentral.
CUUGGGACCUGCAGCCCGCCAUGCCUGAGCUUCCCCCCGCCCCCGCCGUGGGCUCCUGUGCGGCCCGAGCCUCCCCGACGAGCGCCGCCCCCUGCUCCACGAUGCCCAGUCCCAUCGACCACCCAAGGGCUGAGGAGUGCGGGCUCACGGUUACAGGAUUCCCAUUUCAGAACUACGACCAUUUGAAAAAUAGAAGAUUUAAAGAUUGACGCAAAGUGCAUGUACCAUGAUACACCAGGUCUCAUCUCCUGAAUAUUUGUCCUGCCCUGAGUUUUCACCUGAGGCCACCUGUACAACUGACUAGAGUAGUUCCACUGAUUGCUAAAAUGGAACAGGCAGGAUUGGUAUUGACUGUCCAAGAGCAAAGUCAGAUACAGAAUUCCCACCUUUGAGUUGUUCCUGUGUUGCAAUAUUAUCAUAAGGCUCAAGCUACCAGAGACACCCACUGUCACACUGGAGCCUGCUUCUGACCAAAACAUCCUCUGUCAAGCUAUAGACUGCUUCUGACCUCAGGUUUGCCAUUCUGAGCACAUAACAAAAAUAAAACAAGAAAAAGCAUAAGGUAUGAAAUGUUAUUCAAAAAAAGAAUGAUGAAACAAUGAACUAAAGCCUGGGCAGUAAAUAAUUCUGUCUUCAAGAUCCCACAUGGAAAAUUUUUUAGAAAGACUUCCUACCUUUCCUACUGUUUGUAAUGUGCAUCUGGAAUACUAGAGAAAGGGUCCCUAAGGUUUGCUGGAAAAAUACCUUAGCUUCUGAGUCUUAGCUUUAUUACUAAUAAACACUGGAUUUCUGGUA